UUUUUACGACUGGUCAGUAAGAUGAAGUAAUUGCGAUGUUUAAAGCAUUAUUAUCAGUAAAUUAAUAUUGUGAAAUUAAAAGAAGAAAAAAAUUGUGGUAAAAAAAGUAAAUGUGAGGGUUAAAAAUAUUAAAACAAUGUCAGAGGUGGCCUAAAACGGUGUAUAAUCUGCAAAUCUGCCACUAUAGCUUUUGUGUCACUCACUUCCUCCUUUAGCUUUUUUUUUGCUUUUAAAGAUUAAUAACAAAAAAAU
Molecule: long non-coding RNA, 252 nt
Filed under: Capsella rubella
Lineage: Eukaryota; Viridiplantae; Streptophyta; Magnoliopsida; Brassicales; Brassicaceae
Description: long non-coding RNA (CRUB_LNC000803)
Source: RNAcentral